UAAAAAUUGUUCCAUUUUAAAAGAUAUGUGAAAAUUACGUGAUGACAUCGAAAAAUACGGGAAAAAAUCAAGUUUAAUUCUUGAAAAACGUUAAAAUGUUUUUUCGAAGUCGAGUAGAUUGAGCUGCUGAGAGCCACAUGCAUAAAAAAUCAAAUCUAACUUUUCGUUGUCUAUAAAUUCAUUAGUCUAUGAAAGGGCUAGGAGUUGAAUUUUUACAAUUAUUUUAUUACAAAAUCUCCAUAGGAUAAACGGAACGGAAAAUAUCAACUAUUUAGAUGAUGGUAUAGGCAUCAUUUGAAAACCACCGCUUGAACCUGAAAAUAAUAGAUUUGAAAUGAAAAAAAAAUUAAUAAAUAUGAAAGGAACUUUAGAAAAUCCGAAAGGGUCAUCAGACCCUGAUCAAAUA
Musca domestica (house fly) is the source of this 406-nucleotide long non-coding RNA. RefSeq lists it as uncharacterized. The transcript has 2 exons. NCBI's taxonomy places the organism in Eukaryota, Metazoa, Arthropoda, Insecta, Diptera, Muscidae. The record is from RefSeq and is a predicted model, not a curated record.